UAUGCAUAAUCAAUUGGAGGUUCUAACUUCUAACUUCACAUAAUGUAGCCAAAACCAUGAGGCAAUCACUUCAUUGAGUUCUGCAACCUUCACAUAAUGCAGUUCUCUGUCGCGGCUAGAUGGCUGGAUGCAGUUUUUCAUUUGAAAGCCUUGAUGGACUUUUGGAGCUGAAGCUUUCAUGUUUGUUUUUGCCUAGAUACAUUCUU
Prunus avium (sweet cherry) is the source of this 206-nucleotide non-coding RNA. The record is from RefSeq and is a predicted model, not a curated record. Lineage: Eukaryota; Viridiplantae; Streptophyta; Magnoliopsida; Rosales; Rosaceae.